UGCAGUCGAGCGGAACGAUGAUAGCUUGCUAUCAGGCGUCGAGCGGCGGACGGGUGAGUAAUACUUAGGAAUCUACCUAGUAGUGGGGGAUAGCACGGGGAAACUCGUAUUAAUACCGCAUACGACCUACGGGAGAAAGGGGGCAGUUUACUGCUCUCGCUAUUAGAUGAGCCUAAGUCGGAUUAGCUAGAUGGUGGGGUAAAGGCCUACCAUGGCGACGAUCUGUAGCUGGUCUGAGAGGAUGAUCAGCCACACCGGGACUGAGACACGGCCCGGACUCCUACGGGAGGCAGCAGUGGGGAAUAUUGGACAAUGGGGGAAACCCUGAUCCAGCCAUGCCGCGUGUGUGAAGAAGGCCUUUUGGUUGUAAAGCACUUUAAGCAGUGAAGAAGACUCUUCGGUUAAUACCCGGAGACGAUGACAUUAGCUGCAGAAUAAGCACCGGCUAACUCUGUGCCAGCAGCCGCGGUAAUACAGAGGGUGCAAGCGUUAAUCGGAAUUACUGGGCGUAAAGGGAGCGUAGGUGGCUCGAUAAGUCAGAUGUGAAAUCCCCGGGCUCAACCUGGGAACUGCAUCUGAUACUGUUGAGCUAGAGUAUGUGAGAGGAAGGUAGAAUUCCAGGUGUAGCGGUGAAAUGCGUAGAGAUCUGGAGGAAUACCGAUGGCGAAGGCAGCCUUCUGGCAUAAUACUGACACUGAGGCUCGAAAGCGUGGGUAGCAAACAGGAUUAGAUACCCUGGUAGUCCACGCCGUAAACGAUGUCUACUAGUCGUUGGGUCCCUUGAGGACUUAGUGACGCAGCUAACGCAAUAAGUAGACCGCCUGGGGAGUACGGCCGCAAGGUUAAAACUCAAAUGAAUUGACGGGGGCCCGCACAAGCGGUGGAGCAUGUGGUUUAAUUCGAUGCAACGCGAAGAACCUUACCUGGUCUUGACAUAUCUAGAAUCCUGCAGAGAUGCGGGAGUGCCUUCGGGAAUUAGAAUACAGGUGCUGCAUGGCUGUCGUCAGCUCGUGUCGUGAGAUGUUGGGUUAAGUCCCGCAACGAGCGCAACCCUUGUCCUUAGUUACCAGCGGGUUAAGCCGGGAACUCUAAGGAUACUGCCAGUGACAAACUGGAGGAAGGCGGGGACGACGUCAAGUCAUCAUGGCCCUUACGACCAGGGCUACACACGUGCUACAAUGGUAGGUACAGAGGGCAGCUACACAGCGAUGUGAUGCGAAUCUCAAAAAGCCUAUCGUAGUCCAGAUUGGAGUCUGCAACUCGACUCCAUGAAGUAGGAAUCGCUAGUAAUCGCGAUCA
Molecule: ribosomal RNA, 1299 nt
Filed under: Psychrobacter sp. SCS3-N7
Lineage: Bacteria; Pseudomonadati; Pseudomonadota; Gammaproteobacteria; Moraxellales; Moraxellaceae
Description: bacterial SSU rRNA
Rfam family: Bacterial small subunit ribosomal RNA
Source: RNAcentral